Aquila chrysaetos chrysaetos is the source of this 2223-nucleotide long non-coding RNA. RefSeq lists it as uncharacterized. Lineage: Eukaryota; Metazoa; Chordata; Aves; Accipitriformes; Accipitridae. The record is from RefSeq and is a predicted model, not a curated record. The transcript has 3 exons.
GUCCUCAGGUACCUUCCCCAUGACCCCCCAUCUUUGUGCCGGUGCUUGUUUCCUCUGCCUUUGAGGUGGGCACCUCCUUCUCCGUGCAACCUGGGCACCGGAACGUCGAAAGGCCAGGAGAGACAGACGCCAUGUCCUCCGCUCGUGCUCCGAGAGCCACCCUGGCCACCAGCAGCAAGACGUGGUGACAAUGAGGAAAGACCUGUGGCCCUGAGCCGGAUCCAGCCCGCAGGGAUGAUGGAUCUGCACUGGGUUUGGUACCUGAGGGCUUGCAAAAGGGUGAAGCGUGCUUACAGCAGAUGGUCGCAGCGAGCAGCAUCCUGCGGGGAGCAUUAUAAUGGUCAAGUCCUGAGCUGACAAAGGCUGAACAUCUACCCCGUAACGCUGAAAUAAAGAGCUGAAGCCUACCAAGGGCUCGUUAGCCUUCACUGCUUUUUACGAACUCCUUCGAAGCAGUCCCCUGAUGUCCAGGAAAGCCCUGGGCUCGACCGUGUUUUGAAAAAAUCUGAAGAUGUCUCCACGUUGAUAAACAUUCAGGCCCAAGACAUUUGAAGAAACAACGUCCUCUUUCUUAUUCCCACCGUGGUGAGCGUAUGUCCGGCUGUGCGGGGGUCUGAGCAUCCCAUGGCCCGGAUUCCUUUCCUGACUUGCAAUUGUUUUGCUGCGUGACCUAUCUUCGUCAUCGCUCCCCACAGCCCUGACUGCUGUCACCCUCCAGUCCUGGGAAAGGCGCUUAACCUCGCUGAGGUUCAGUCGUGACCUCUGCAAAAAGAAAUUGCUUCAGAGCCUGACACGACGAGCGCGCUGGAAGCUGGAAACGAGCUGCUUUUGCUCGUUAACGGGAGCUCAGAGGAGUUCAAAUGGAGGAAGAACUAGCGUAUGGUCUCCAUAAUCCUUCCUGUUGUCUGAAUCGUGCCAGCCUGCCAAGAAGCGCUGCCCUGCUACGUGGCAUGCCCGUUUUCUGGCCCUUAACGAAGAGCCCGUCGGAGAUGCGCAUCUCGGCGCCUGGCAGGGUCCCAAACGACAGGCAGCUGCUCACAAGGCAUUUCGGCUUUUUGCCCCGCGCUCUCCAACACCCAAAGGUCGGUGGGGAAAAUAUCGAACAUUUUCAUACGUUUUCGUUUGUCCUGAGGUUUCGCUGGACAAGCCAAGUCCUCCCCACCCCUCCUGGUGGAAAAUAGAGCCCGCCUGCUGGUGUGCUGUUUCAUCGCGUGAAUUAAACCCCAACUGCCCGCUCUUAAAAUUUCAGAAUUCCCGCAUGAAAUCCUUCCCUGCGACGAAGGAAGUCGUCUCUCUUGUUUAAGGGCUACAGCACAUUGCUGCAGGUUUCAUGUUAAAAUGUCUCUUUGCUCCUAGUAACCCUUCAUGUUCUCUGAGACUCGUCUCUCGAGCCCUGCAAGGAAGGCAGAUUUACGUGUCACGGUUUUGAACAUUUGGUUAAUAACAACUCGUUCAUCUCCAAGGAGCAGACUGAAUACAAACAGCCAUUACCGUAAAAUAAUUUUCUAUCAAUAGUCUCUAUUUCUGCAUUUUAUUGUGUCACGUACAGAUGUGCUUCUGCUUCCCCAUUGAAGAUUGAGAUGAAUCGGCUGAGGGAGGGGAAGUACGUGUUUAAUUUUAGCUCUUUAGUACAUUUUGAAAGUAAACCCAAAUGCUUUUAUUGUGAUUCCUCGUGUACAGGUUAUUAUUAUUUAUUCAUUGUGUAGGAAGUCUUCCAUAAUGUGAAUCUAUGGUAAUACCUGACAUAGACAGACUAUUUCUUGAAAAUCAAUCCAUUACAAUUUGUUAACACUAUCACACUCUUUUAAUGUCCUCAUUUUUAAGAAUUUAUCAGUUGUGUCAUCAAGGAACUCUCAAUUUCUUCCUGAUGACCACUUGUAGUAACAGGACAAUUAUUUAUAUUUUUCUGGAUGCCAAAAUAAAUAUAGAAAAUACUUUAGCUUUACUCGCAUCCCUUCUGUGUGUGCUAUUUGGGUCACCGCACAAUAUCCUAAAAAAUAUUUUCUCGUCAUUCUACUUCUGGAACUAUAAGUGAAUAACACCAUUGAAUCUGUGAGAGUGCCAGCACAUUUUUGCUGUACAAGCAAAAUGAAAAAAUAACAAUAAUUAUUUUAAGUGUCCAUUGAGCCACAAAACAUCAAAACGAGAGUGAAAUCUCAAACAGAGAAACAGUUUUCUGGGGACAUAAUGAUGCUGCUGCUAGACAAGUAACCAUCACAUAUA